Molecule: small RNA, 107 nt
Filed under: Methylobrevis pamukkalensis
Lineage: Bacteria; Pseudomonadati; Pseudomonadota; Alphaproteobacteria; Hyphomicrobiales; Pleomorphomonadaceae
Description: Guanidine-I sequence
Rfam family: Guanidine-I riboswitch aptamer
About the family: This family represents a conserved RNA structure found upstream of the ykkC and yxkD genes in Bacillus subtilis and related genes in other bacteria. The function of this family is unclear although it has been suggested that it may function to switch on efflux pumps and detoxification systems in response to harmful environmental molecules.
Source: Rfam by way of RNAcentral
GACAUCAGUUUCUAGGGUUCCGGCGCCGAAGGGCGUGCUGGUCCGAGAGAAACGCCCCGGCGGGGAGAAAUCCGCCGGGUCCACGGCGGGAUAAAAGCCCGGGAGGC